GCAAACAAUGCGCUGGGAUUUUAACACAGCGUCCUUUUCAGGGGGAUCAGAGCACCGCCAGGUGCCAGGCCUGUGUUUGCUCC
RNAcentral lists this transfer RNA (83 nucleotides) under Methanosaeta sp. PtaB.Bin039. RNAcentral's name for it is "tRNA-Sec". Lineage: Archaea; Methanobacteriati; Methanobacteriota; Methanomicrobia; Methanotrichales; Methanotrichaceae. The record is from RNAcentral.